GAUAAUUUAUAAUGAAAAUAAAUUUAUUGGCUCACCAUUCCAGAGGCUGGACGUUCAAGACUGAGGAGCUGGAAUCGGGUGGGGCCUUCCUGUUGCAUCGUCCACGGAGGACAGGGAAAAGAGGGCAAGAGACUGGACUCCAGCCUCUAGGUCUCUUCCACUCGAUGGCUGCACACCUGCCUAGACCCCGCCCACCAGCACUCUUGCACUGGGAGUUAUUGCUGGUCAGACAUGAGCCACAAUCCCAACGUCUGGCCACUUCUGCUGCCCUGGUACAAU
This 279-nucleotide long non-coding RNA is filed under the name Ictidomys tridecemlineatus (thirteen-lined ground squirrel). Its description in RNAcentral is "lncRNA (ENSSTOG00000030119.1)". The record is from RNAcentral. Lineage: Eukaryota; Metazoa; Chordata; Mammalia; Rodentia; Sciuridae.